RNAcentral lists this transfer RNA (77 nucleotides) under Candidatus Campbelliibacteriota bacterium. Its description in RNAcentral is "Candidatus Campbellbacteria bacterium tRNA-Val". It matches the Rfam family "tRNA". From Rfam's summary of the family: Transfer RNA (tRNA) molecules are approximately 80 nucleotides in length. Lineage: Bacteria; Candidatus Campbelliibacteriota. The record is from RNAcentral.
GGGCGAUUAGCUCAGUUGGCUAGAGCAGUUCGUUUACACCGAAAAGGUCAGGGGUUCGAGUCCCUUAUCGCCCACAA